This 399-nucleotide long non-coding RNA is filed under the name Elaeis guineensis (African oil palm). RNAcentral describes it as "long non-coding RNA (EGUI_LNC042039)". The record is from RNAcentral. Lineage: Eukaryota; Viridiplantae; Streptophyta; Magnoliopsida; Arecales; Arecaceae.
UGUGCCCUUUAUUUCUUCACACGAGAAACUUUUUGCAUGAAUUUUUUCUCAUACCCAGAAGUAGUUCCAUAUCCACAUCUGAUCUCUUUUUGAAUUAAAAAUUAGUUGGUUUAAAUUUGAGUUCAAAUGAGUUUUUGAAUGAAAACCUAAAGUCCAAAUCGAGUUGGACUCUUCCCUUCGCGCCACCACCUUUCUUCAUGCAUAAAAUAUUUUUGCAUGAAAUGUUUUAUGCUAUUCUGAUGCUGGUUGCCUAUUAUCUAAGUUUCUAAGAUGAGGAUAAAAUUUGGUUCAAAGUUUAAUUCAAAUUUAAUUUAAAUUGGUGAUAAAGAUCAACCAAUGUUUAAACUUGAACCAAAACUACCUUAUUCUUAUCCUUAUCUUUCAUGGGAUGCCACCCUC